RNAcentral lists this long non-coding RNA (2254 nucleotides) under Podarcis lilfordi (Lilford's wall lizard). The record is from RNAcentral. Lineage: Eukaryota; Metazoa; Chordata; Lepidosauria; Squamata; Lacertidae.
CCUCUAAAUAAGCCAAAUUAUAAAAACUGCAAAGCAGCAGCAACAUAAUCUGUAUAAGGGCCAGAAAAAGAACCAGUUAACAAGUGAAAGGAAAACUUUUUUGCUAAGUUUCAUAAAAUUAGCAGGAAGGAGUGGUGUUGAUCUCCUUAGGAGAGUGUUCCAGAACUCAGGGGCUUCUAAGGCCUUGCUUCCAGUGAAAGCUUGGUCUCCUUAUCAGUUGGGUGGGGGGGUUGCCACGGUGACAAGGACCUGCCCUCCUUUGUGACAUCUCUUGCUUCUCUCUUAAAAGCCACUGACUUGCAGGUGGCCAUUGUGGGUUAGUAGUGAGGCAAGUGGAGGAGAGGAGUUCGUGGCGGUUGGAGAAGAGAAGGAGAGGUGUUCAUUUGAUUGUUAUUUAUUACUUUUAUUUGAUUCAUUUGAAUUUAUUAUUUUUUGUUUUAUUUAUUAUUUUACUUUUUAUUUUAACGCUUUAUUUUACUUAUUUUAUUUUUUGUUCUUUAUUUUCAUAUUUUUUAUUUUACAUUUUUAUUUUGUGCACAUAUUUUGUAUAUAUUUAUUUUGUGCAUAGAGGAGUAGUUAGGGGUAAGUGUAGGAUUAGGGCGGGGGUUAGGGUUAGGCUUAGAGCUGGGUUUGGGGCCAGAGUUAGGCUUGGGUGGGCAUUUUAGAUAGUUAGCUAGUUUAGAGAAGAGGGUGGGAAUUUUGUGUGAACAAAAUGUGCAGACUGUAAGUAGCAUUCCUUUGCUUUCUCUUGGUCUCCUGGGGGCGGGGUGUGAGUCCUGGGGUCCCCUGCACAGCCUUAGCUCUCUGGAAAUCGACAUGGCCAGUCUUCUCCAGAGAGCUCAGCUCCUCCACACUGUCCCCUCUCAUCAUUUACUGUAUUUUUCGCUCCAUAAGAUGCACCUGACCAUAAGACGCAUCUAGUUUUUAGAGGGGGAAUACAAGAAAAAAAUUAUUUAAAGGGAACGCUGAGCAGAGUCUGUAUGCAUCCCAGGUUCUGCUCAGUGCUCCCUUUCACGAGCCGCGUGGAGCGUGCUUGCGGCUCUUAGGGACUUUUCCCCGAGGAGGGGGAAGGGACUGACAGGCUGCGUUCAGCUCUUGCGGGCUUUUCUACGAGGUGGGAGAAGGACAGCCCAUCAGUGAUGGGCUUUUCCCGCCUGCCUCCCGCCUGCAUUCGCUCCAUAAGACGCACACACAUUUCCCCUUACUUUUUAGGAGGGAAAAAGUGUGUCUUAUGGAGCGAAAAAUACGGUACAUUUACUAGGACAUUCCUAGCCCAUUUUCCUCCCAGGAGCUCAAGGUGGCUGUUAAGUUGUGGGUGAACAUAUCAGACGACACAGCUAUUCUUCAAACAGCUCUUCGUUAUUCAGAGUCAGAACAGAACUAACUGAGGAGCUCAGUCAGCCUGCUUAUAUAGAGCUCCAGAACAAUGUAACAGUUGCCAUUUUCUAAAACUAUCCAAUCACUGAACGUCACUUUCGAUCCUUCAUUUGCAUAACUAUCUACAGUAUCCCCCUUCUGGCCCAGUACAUAACAGUGGCCUCCAUGGUUCUCCCUGCCACCAAUUGUUAUCUUCACAGCUGAGUGGGGAUUUGAACCCUGCUCUCCCAGGUCCUCCCGGAAGAAGCUGACUUUCCUCCUCUGCUCUCUUCCAGGAAAUCCGUGACCACUUGGAGCGCUUCAGGGAUCGCCUCUUGAGCCUGGCCCUGGCCUUCGAGACCCUUCUCCGGCUGAUGUGAAUGUGGUCUUUGGGGUGGGUGGAGUUGCGGGGGGUGGGGUGGGGAGCAGAACUCCAGGGGGAGCUCCGGGUGGGCAAGAGCAGGCAGGAGGGAAAAGAGGGCAAAGGAGACUUGGAGGAGGCAGCGUCUAACCCCUUCCCUUUCUCUCUCCAGUUUCAUGAGACCCCAUUUCAGCUGCGCUAUGGUCAGUGCUAUUCUGCAUAGGACAAUGGAGGCUGUUCUUGGGGGCGCAGAAAAGGAGGAGGACAAAGAGGUAUGUCCUCUGCUUUGACUUCCCUUUGCACAGCUCUUUCUUCUUCUCACACCCUUGCAAGAUUUAACCCAGCACUCAACCAGGAACUGAAGCGGCCAUUCCAGAGCCUGCUGGGGGUUCUCCUCACUUUGUGACAUUUUGUCACCCCCCUCAGUGAUGACACCCAGUGUGAUCUGCACCCACUGCACCCCACUUCCUAUGCCUCUGCUCCUUAUAAAAUGAAAUUCAGAGCAGGACCUCAUCAGACAAACUUAAGUGUUGCGGG